Non-coding RNA from Cinara cedri, 261 nucleotides. The record is from the annotation of a GenBank genome assembly. NCBI's taxonomy places the organism in Eukaryota, Metazoa, Arthropoda, Insecta, Hemiptera, Aphididae.
CGUAAACAACGAAACGUAUAAUCAUAUAUCGACAGCAAAAUCCUGUAAACGCACGGUUUUCAUCGAAAGUUCUUCAUUUUAAUUAUGCUUACAUUAUAAUUGUACCCAACUAUACUUCUGCUGACCACCAUGAUGGCCAUUGCCUACCUAUACCGGAUUUAAAAUUACCAUAAAAACCUCCUGGCUUCGUGUAAAUCACGUGCAUUUGUAUUGUAUUAUACAUUUGACCACCGUUGUAUUUCUCGGCCAAAUAUUUGUUUA